Molecule: long non-coding RNA, 4562 nt
Organism: Vespula vulgaris
Lineage: Eukaryota; Metazoa; Arthropoda; Insecta; Hymenoptera; Vespidae
Exons: 2
Source: RefSeq, a predicted model, not a curated record
AUCUACAAAAUGACAAUCGUUUCUUCGUACAAAUACACAUAUAUACGUACUUACGAUAAGUAUACUUACUUACUCUCCAGAGAAAUUCACUCUCUCAAACAUUCUACCCCGUUAGCUUCCGUGUUUGCGCGAGUUUGUGAAACGACUGCACGAGCUAGAAAGAGAGGAAAGAAUAUGACGAAUUUAACGGUCGACAGUGAGCGUGACAAGUGCGUGCAACGGGUGGAAAAUCGAAGGAGGGUAGAAAAAGAAAGUAGGAAGAGGGUGUUCUUCUUUUCUUAGUCUCCUUAGUAGGGUUCGUGCGUUGGUGGUUGUAAGUCGGCGGUUCGUUCAUGGCCAUCGAAUUAAUAGGCCAUCUGCUCAACUCCUCCGAGCUCCUUUAAGGAAGUCAAUGUUUAGGAAGUCCAUGGGAAGCGGCGACAACGGAAAGACCCAUAAAGAGAGGACAUGGGAACGAGAGUUUGCAAGGAAGUUGCGUACGGUGCCUCAUACGCCCCUUUGCCUUUUUCUUCUUCUUCGUUAAGAGGAAGAAAGAGAGAGAGAGAGAGAGAAAGCUUAGGUGAAAAUGACUGGAUUUUCGUUCUUCGAUAAAAAGAGCUUUUAUAGAAAAUACUCUUCCCGAACGGUUUCUCAUAUUUGUAACUCACCCCUUCCAUCAUUAUAGCAUACAUGACUUCGUCUUAUUACUUAACACUUCAACGACGUACGCAAACAUACUCGUUGCUGUGGGAAAGAAUGCAGAGGGUUGCCUGUAAUCUGUUACCCGAUAACUUUUUUUCUCGUCAUGAAAAUGUACUCUUGAGUAAUGCCCAUCAUCAGUAUGAUUUUUGCCCAUAGUAGCAUAAAAGAGAGAAUGAGAAAAAGAGAGAUAGUAGAAGAAACGUUUAGAAGACUCUUGAAAAUUCCAGACGAUAAACGAAUAGACAGGGUGCGUCUGCUUUUCGAAAGAGCAGCGAGAACAAGAUUAAUAAAUCCAAAACGACGAAGCCGCCGUCAUGCGCCUGGUAACAAUAACGAAACACCUUUUAUGCACACGUGGAUUCUACCUCCUUCAGUAGGAGCCACCGCCACCACCACCACCACCACCAUCACCAUCACCAUCACUAUCAACAUCAGUACAAGCAGAACCACCAGCACGAGCAACGUCUACUCUUCCUGUCUCUCUCGCUUCCACCUUCUACCUUCUUCUCCACAUUCACCUGCUGCUAUUCGAAGAUCAGCUGCCCUAACCGCCACCUUGGCAGCACCUUGCUACCCACCACUGUCCUCCUUCACCUCCUCCUCCUCCUCCUCUUCUUCCUCCUUCUUCUUCUUCUCUUCAUUCUCUUUCUUCUUCUUCUUCUUCUUCUUCUUCUUCUUCUUCUUCGUCGUCGUCGUAGUCGUUGUCGUAGUCGUUGUCGUCGUUCAGGAUCUUCUUCUUCCUUCUUCUUCUUUCUCUUAGUGCUCGCAACCACAUGCCCCCGCACACGCAUACGCCCAGGCGUCCAAGAAUUUUUCCAAAAAAAUCCAGCUGCAACGAUCUUUUAUGGGGGUCUCCCGAUGCUGGCCAUCCUGCACCAUGCACCAUGUACCAUGCACCGGCACCAAACGCAGCUUGCCAGUCUCCGUCGUCGUUACUUCCUUCUACAAAGUUAUCUUACUUUCUCGACCUUGUCUUUUUCUUUCUCUUGAUCGUGUAAUUGCGUUGCAGAAAGAAACGCGAGAGUUACUCGUGUGAUAAUUCAUCAUUAAAGGAAUGCAAUUCGAUUCGUUCUCUCCGUUCUUCCUUUCAUUUAACCUAUUCUAAUCGAUAAGUAAUAAUCAAACGCAUAGAUAAUUUUUCAAAUUACUUUAAAGGUGUCUUAUUUAAAAAUCUCAUUAAAAAUAUAAUUAUAUUUUUAUAAAAAAAAAGAAGAGAGAGAGGAGGAAAAUAUAGAAGACAGGAAAAAAAAAGAGAGAAAAUGAUAGGCCCACAUGUGUCAUUAUCGUUCUUCAUUUUAUAGGAUAUACAUCGAAUAAAAUAUAAAAUCGUUGUCGUCACACAUAUGUAUGUCACUAUCUUUCAUAAGAAACCAGCAUACUGUAUAUAUGUGUACGUAUGUACAUAUGGUAAUAUAAUAUGAACUUGUUAACAGAAGAACAAAAGAGAAAGAUCGUUUGAAUGAAUUUUAUAGUUCUUUAUUAUAGUUUUUUCGUAUAUUAAAUAUCGAAGAUAUUUGGCAGUUAAAAUUUGUGCUUGAUACAACGAAUGAUCGUAGAACGUGGCAAUUUCCGUCUUUCAUUUCGUAUUGUAACAAAAUAGCGUUGUUAUAUACAGCGCAUUUGUCGUUUUUUCUUUGCAUAGCAGAGAAGCAGCAGGUGAAGGCACCAAACUCCACGUGGAGUGAAAGAGAGAAAGACAGAAAACGAUCGACUUUUAAGGCAACCUUUAACUGGCACACGCACGCGCUUAUUCUGCAAUUUAGAUAACACGUAUUUAAUCGCACAUGUCGUUUGCAGCAAAAUUCACCGGCUUGACAACACAUAUGUAUAUAUGUAUAUACGUAUGUGUGUGUGUGUGUGUGUAUAAAUAUAUUUUUAAUGCUACAUUAAUUUCAAAAUAUUUUUUUUUAAUACGUCCUUAAAGUUUUCAUAAAUAAUUAAUAAUAAUAGAGAAAGUAACGAUAUAACUUAUGACAAUAACUUACGAAAAUAUUUUCCUUGGGAACACCGGAGUAAAGUUUGAAUUAAUUAAUUAAUUAAUUAAUUAAUUAAUUAAUAAAGAAGAAAUAGUAAAUAAAAAUAUAAACGUAAUAAAUUAUAUAAAAGAAUAUGAGAAAUCGAUCUGCUAAUUUUAAGAAAAUCCGAAGGUGUCGAUAUUCCCAGAGAGCCUUAAUGAAAUUCAAAGAGGAUUCGAGUCUAAAGCGUAUCAAUUACGUUUCCAACCCUAAAAGAAUCGAAAAGGGUUUCGUCUGGCGCCGUUUUUCUUUCCCACAAGAGACCAGCAGUGAGAAUAUCGAUUCUCUGAGCAUCGUUGGAGAAUAAGGAUGAAGAUGAAGAAGAGUAGGAGGAGGAAGAGGAUGAACAUUCACGCUUGGACCCUCGUUUUGGAUUUAUCGGGCUGGACGUCCGGCCAAAUCUUUAAAGCCCACGGAGAAUUGGAGCAUAUGGCGAAGGACGAUUCUCAACGAAGGAAGAGAUCUCUCUCUCUCUCUCUCUCUCUCUUUCUCUCUUUCUCCCUCUCCCACCCUUUCGUUCUGUUCGACCCCCAGGGUGCAUGUCCCGUAAAAAUUCGCUGUGCUACCUUGUAUAUCUCCGUCGUGCAUCAGUCUCGACUUAUUUAAGAAGAUCAAGCAUCUUCCUUUCCAAGAAAGUCUCCCCUCAUACCAAAAAGAAAGUAAGAAAAAGAAAGACGUCCUACUCGAUUAAAAGAAUUCUAACGUCAACUGCAUGGCGAGUCGAUCGAUUUCUGUCAAGAAUCAUUAAGUUCCAAGGGUAAGAAUCAUGGGAUGACCGAAAAAAUCCUCUUGGUCCUCUACUUUCUGAUGAAUCUUUGCUGAUCGGAAGGAUCGUUUCAGGGUUAUCUCUCCUUUUCUACGGGAGAAUCCCUACACGUCUGUUCGUAGUAUUGUAGGAGAGACGAGUAGGUUGGGGAGAAAGAAAAAAGAAGGAAGAAAAAGGAAAAGAAUCGAGUCCACCACUGACUGUGGGAGAUCGCAUACGUACGCAGAGUGUAGGCAACUCGUACACUCUUCUCUUCAGAGAAGGAGAAGCAGAGAGAGAAAGAAAGAAAGAGACAGAGAGAGAGAGAGAGAGAGAGAGAGAGAGAACUCGUGAGAGAAAACCUGCAUGGCGAGAGAGAAGGACGAAGAGAAUCACCUGCGGUGCACCUGCUGUGCAGGGGGCUCCUUUGGUCCCGUAUUAAAAGUGUAUCAGGCCCUCCUCCUCAUCUUCUUUCCUCCUUGAAUUGCCUCCUUGGAUUCUUCUCUCUCUUUCUUCCGAACUCCCUCGAUCGCUAACUCCUCCACCACGAAAUACCUGGUGGCCCUUCUACACGGUAAUUGCCCCUCAACCGACUUUUGCCUUUGAUGGAAACGAUCUGACAAAAACGUGUGCGAGAUCGGCAUAGUCCUGAUCAGGACAUAUUGUCUUGAAUAAUCCUAAUAUUUUCAAAAUUGAUAAUAAGAAAGAAAAAGAAACGUAUCUUCCGUCUGGCAGACGAGAACGAAGAAGUCGAGGAAACGACUAGAAGACGUUCCCGUCGUUGUGUACUGCGAACGGCAUCGUUCGUUCACGAGCUCGGCAACGGCCAACAGGUGUAUAGCAGGUGCACACCCCAGCACCUUGGAGAGUGUUGUAGAGAGCUAAAAAGUUUCACGUCCACCUGAAGGUCCCACGCGAGAAACCGAGCAACUUUCAACCGUCGUCUUCGAGCGCCACCACCACCCUUCGACAGACCCACCCCACGAAGAAGCAUGUAUGACUCAAACAAAUUCGAACGUUACACGGUAAUGGAGAUGCUCGGUGAUAAAAUGAUGAUGAAAUUUAAUCGAUUCGUCGUCUAAUUGUAUAAUUUAUCGUUAAAUAAAUUAUAGUCAAAUUAA